AACGAACGCUGGCGGCAUGCCUAACACAUGCAAGUCGAACGAGACCUUCGGGUCUAGUGGCGCACGGGUGCGUAACGCGUGGGAACCUGCCUUUAGGUUCGGAAUAACUCAGAGAAAUUUGAGCUAAUACCGGAUGAUGUCUUCGGACCAAAGAUUUAUCGCCUUUAGAUGGGCCCGCGUUGGAUUAGCUAGUUGGUGGGGUACAGGCCUACCAAGGCGACGAUCCAUAGCUGGUCUGAGAGGAUGAGCAGCCACACUGGGACUGAGACACGGCCCAGACUCCUACGGGAGGCAGCAGUGGGGAAUAUUGGACAAUGGGCGAAAGCCUGAUCCAGCAAUGCCGCGUGAGUGAUGAAGGCCUUAGGGUUGUAAAGCUCUUUUACCCGAGAUGAUAAUGACAGUAUCGGGAGAAUAAGCUCCGGCUAACUCCGUG
RNAcentral lists this ribosomal RNA (433 nucleotides) under uncultured bacterium. Its description in RNAcentral is "partial 16S ribosomal RNA". It matches the Rfam family "Bacterial small subunit ribosomal RNA", at positions 29 to 507 of the family's 1533-position model. The record is from RNAcentral.